RNAcentral lists this ribosomal RNA (350 nucleotides) under uncultured eukaryote. RNAcentral's name for it is "SSU rRNA". It matches the Rfam family "Eukaryotic small subunit ribosomal RNA", at positions 567 to 922 of the family's 1831-position model. The record is from RNAcentral.
CCAGCAGCUGCGGUAAUUCCAGCUCCAAUAGCGUAUAUUAAAGUUGUUGCAGUUAAAAAGCUCGUAGUUGAACUUCAGGCUUGGUUGGUUGGUCCGCCUCACGGUGUGUACUGAUCGACCGAGCCUUACCUCUUGGUGAGCUAGCAUGCCGUUUAUUCGGUGUGUUAGGGAACCAGGAUUUUUACUUUGAAAAAAUUAGAGUGUUCAAAGCAGGCCUAUGCCCGAAUACAUUAGCAUGGAAUAAUAGAAUAGGACGUGCGGUUCUAUUUUGUUGGUUUCUAGGAUCGCCGUAAUGAUUAAUAGGGAUAGUUGGGGGCAUUAGUAUUCAGUUGCUAGAGGUGAAAUUCUUG